CUUUUUACGUUACAAAAGCCCUCCUGAUCAUUGGAUUGGUCUCCAGAAAGAUUCAGGUCAACCUUGGAGAUGGAUCAACUGCAGCAUUUUCACAGGACAGCUCUUCACACUUCCAACUGAAAAGGGAAGAAGAUGUGCAUAUUUGAACCAUAAAGAUGUUGCCAGCUCCAGCUGCACAAGAGAAGAACUCUGGAUCUGUAGCAAAGACAUAUUUGAAGGCAAUGCCUGAAUUACAGAAACCGAGCCCUAAUUUAUUCUCUGCACAUACAGUGAGGUGCUUUAAAAUGUAAUAUAAUAAAAUAAUAAAUAAUAAAACCUUAUUUACCGUAUAUCCUGCCCUAUAUCCCUUUGGGGACUCAGGGCAGUUGUACUUGUUUUUUGCCUUGUUUUCAGCCUCAUGCCCCAUGCAGAAGAAAAUUAAUAAAAUUUUUGCAGAAUGUAUUUCAGAGGGCUGAUUUUUUUAAAAAAAAUACUUUAUUUUAAUUUUUUUAAGUUCAAAUUUUGAAAUUCUUCAAAAUUCAAAAUUGGCAAGUCCUUCUCUUUCUUGUGCAAAAUAUGAGCAAAAGGUUUCCAAUCUUUUUUUAAAAAAAAUCAGAUGUCCCUCCUUUUAGUGAACAGUUAAUUUGUCCAUCUCAGUCAAGUCCAUCAUUUUUAUCAUCCAAUUCUCUGUUGUUGGUGUUGCUGAAUACUUCCAUUUCUGAGCAUAGAGCAAUCUGGCUGCUGUGAUCAUAUAUUGCAACAGUCUAGAAUAGUGAUUUGUAUCAGUCAGACCAAGUGGAGAAGUCUUGGGUUUUAAAUGGAUAUUCUCAUGCAAAUCUUUCUGGAUCACCUUAUGUAUUUGAAUCCAGUAUUUCUUGGCAUGUUUAAAUUUUCACCACAUAUGAUAGAAAGACCCCACUUGCUGUUUACAUUUCCAGCAAGUGUUGGAAACCUCUUUAGACAUCUUAGAAAGUAGUUUAGGAGUCGUAUACCAUCAACACAUCAUUUUAUAAAAAUUCUGUUUCAAAUUAUAACAUAACAUAAAAUUUAACCCCUUAUUCCACAUUUUCUCUCAUUGGUCCAACAUUGUAUUAUGUCCAACAUUUUAUGCCCACUUUGCCAUGCAUUCUUUAACUUCGUUAUCUGCCAUUCCCCAUUUCAAUAACAUCUUAUAUAUUUUAGUAAUUAAAUGUUCAUCAUUAGCACAUAAAUUGCAACUAAAAUUCUGAUUAAUUGCUUGUAUUGCCUAAAUCUCUCCAUUAACUGUAAAUAAGAAAAUCACUGAAAAUAAAACUCUCUGCAAUCAAU
Molecule: long non-coding RNA, 1287 nt
Organism: Anolis carolinensis (green anole)
Lineage: Eukaryota; Metazoa; Chordata; Lepidosauria; Squamata; Anolidae
Exons: 2
Source: RefSeq, a predicted model, not a curated record